Molecule: transfer RNA, 82 nt
Filed under: Eubacterium sp.
Lineage: Bacteria; Bacillati; Bacillota; Clostridia; Eubacteriales; Eubacteriaceae
Also listed under: 1 other name
Description: tRNA-Leu
Rfam family: tRNA
About the family: Transfer RNA (tRNA) molecules are approximately 80 nucleotides in length.
Source: RNAcentral
GCGGAAAUGACGGAAUUGGCAGACGUGCAGGAUUUAGGUUCCUGUGUCGCAAGGCGUGAGGGUUCGAGUCCCUUUUUCCGCA